AUACGAAGGGGGCUAGCGUUGUUCGGAUUUACUGGGCGUAAAGCGCACGUAGGCGGAUUGAUUAGUUAGGGGUGAAAUCCCGAGGCUCAACCUCGGAACUGCCUUUAAUACUGUCAAUCUCGAGACCGGAAGAGGUGAGUGGAACUCCUAGUGUAGAGGUGGAAUUCGUAGAUAUUAGGAAGAACACCAGUGGCGAAGGCGGCUCACUGGUCCGGUACUGACGCUGAGGUGCGAAAGCGUGGGGAGCGAACAGGAUUAGAAACCCCGGUAGUCC
Molecule: ribosomal RNA, 274 nt
Filed under: uncultured bacterium
Lineage: Bacteria
Description: partial 16S ribosomal RNA
Rfam family: Bacterial small subunit ribosomal RNA
Source: RNAcentral